AUUGAACGCUGGCGGCAUGCUUUACACAUGCAAGUCGAACGGUAACAGGUUAAGCUGACGAGUGGCGAACGGGUGAGUAAUGCAUCGGAACGUGCCCGAUCGUGGGGGAUAACGCAGCGAAAGCUGCGCUCCUACCGCAUACGAUCUGAGGAUGAAAGCGGGGGAUCGUAAGGCCUAGCGCGAUCGGAGCGGCCGAUGUCAGAUUAGGUAGUUGGUGGGGUAAAGGCUCACCAAGCCAACGAUCUGUAGCUGGUCUGAGAGGACGACCAGCCACACUGGGACUGAGACACGGCCCAGACUCCUACGGGAGGCAGCAGUGGGGAAUUUUGGACAAUGGGCGCAAGCCUGAUCCAGCCAUGCCGCGUGCAGGAUGAAGGCCUUCGGGUUGUAAACUGCUUUUGUACGGAACGAAAAGACUCUGGUUAAUACCUGGGGUCCAUGACGGUACCGUAAGAAUAAGCACCGGCUAACUACGUGCCAGCCGCCGCAGUAA
Molecule: ribosomal RNA, 493 nt
Filed under: uncultured bacterium
Lineage: Bacteria
Description: partial 16S ribosomal RNA
Rfam family: Bacterial small subunit ribosomal RNA
Source: RNAcentral